RNAcentral lists this ribosomal RNA (467 nucleotides) under uncultured bacterium. Its description in RNAcentral is "partial 16S ribosomal RNA". It matches the Rfam family "Bacterial small subunit ribosomal RNA", at positions 29 to 507 of the family's 1533-position model. The record is from RNAcentral.
ACGAACGCUGGCGGCGUGCUUAACACAUGCCAGUCGAACGGAAAGGCCCUGCUUUUGUGGGGUGCUCGAGUGGCGAACGGGUGAGUAACACGUGAGUAACCUGCCCUUGACUUUGGGAUAACUUCAGGAAACUGGGGCUAAUACCGGAUAGGAGCUCCUGCUGCAUGGUGGGGGUUGGAAAGUUUCGGCGGUUGGGGAUGGACUCGCGGCUUAUCAGCUUGUUGGUGGGGUAGUGGCUUACCAAGGCUUUGACGGGUAGCCGGCCUGAGAGGGUGACCGGCCACAUUGGGACUGAGAUACGGCCCAGACUCCUACGGGAGGCAGCAGUGGGGAAUAUUGCACAAUGGGCGGAAGCCUGAUGCAGCAACGCCGCGUGCGGGAUGACGGCCUUCGGGUUGUAAACCGCUUUCGCCUGUGACGAAGCGUGAGUGACGGUAAUGGGUAAAGAAGCACCGGCUAACUACGCG